Molecule: ribosomal RNA, 405 nt
Filed under: uncultured bacterium
Lineage: Bacteria
Description: bacterial SSU rRNA
Rfam family: Bacterial small subunit ribosomal RNA
Source: RNAcentral
UGAGGAAUAUUCGGCAAUGGGGGAAACCCUGACCGAGCGACGCCGCGUGCAGGAAGACGGCCUUCGGGUUGUAAACUGCUUUUAUUUGGGAAGAUUAUGACGGUACCAAAUGAAUAAGGACCGGCUAACUACGUGCCAGCAGCCGCGGUAAUACGUAGGGUCCAAGCGCUAUCCGGAAUCACUGGGCGUAAAGAGUUUGUAGGCGGCGAUUUAAGUGAGAUGCGAAAUUCUCCCGCUCAACGGGAUGGACUGUAUUUCAAACUGAAUUGCUAGAGGUAUGCAGAGGUUAGCGGAAUUUGCGGUGUAGGAGUGAAAUCCGUAGAUAUCGCAAGGAACACCAAUGGCGAAGGCAGCUAACUGGGCAUUACCUGACGCUGAGAAACGAAAGCGUGGGGAGCGAACGGG